AUAUGACUUCCCUUAUCUCCACAAAAAUGCCUGCAGGUAUCAGUGGGACUCAGCUUCAUGUGACAUUGCUUGACCGGUGUGUGGUGUACCACCCAAAGAGCGAUUUAUAGCAUUGUUCCUGAAGCAUGACGCACAUGGAUACCUUGGUGCACGCCUCCCAUCUCUCCUUCCAAUCAGUUCCAUCAAGAGCCAGGUCGGCCUCCCAUUGGUCAGUGUAUCUGAGAGUCCCCCAUUCCCCUAAUUCUGAGCUAAUGUGUUGGUAAAGUAGAGUAAUGAGUUUGGUCUGGGUUGUUUCCUCAUAACACAUUUUCUCAAAGAACGUUAACUUGCAUUCUGCUGCUGUUUGGAUUUCUUUGGUGCGUGCGAAGUCCCUAAUCUGCAGAUAGCAGAAAUAGUCUCUCAUCUGGAUUGGGGACUAGGUUUGUAGGUGGUCAUAGGUUACUAUGUCGCCAUUGAUGUACAGGUGUAUGUACCUUUAUAGCCCUGUGGGCUCUAUGCCCUUGAAGUCUCUAGCCCUCAUUCCCGGGAGAAACGCUUUAUUUCUGAGGACUGUAGUCAAUGGUGACGGAUGGCUCCCUAGUGCAUAGUUUUGCUUUACUUGGUCCCAUAUUUGGAUGGAGUUUAGAACAGCUGGGCAUGUCAUUCUUAGUAUAGUCCUCUGUGUUUUAGGGACCCAUAGGUAGAAUUGGGGUAGAUCUGCCCCUGUUAGUAAGGAUUCAAUUA
Non-coding RNA from Pelobates cultripes (western spadefoot toad), 723 nucleotides. Lineage: Eukaryota; Metazoa; Chordata; Amphibia; Anura; Pelobatidae. The record is from the annotation of a GenBank genome assembly.